GUAAAUGCUCCACAAAUCCAGCAUUUCAUGGCUUUUCCCAACAGAGGACUUGGGCAGGCUGGAAUCAGAGGCUCAGAGAGGCAACAAGACUUGACCAGUGAUGCACAGCAAGUGAGCAGAAAGUGGGCACCUACUUCCUUCCCCUGGAGUUCCUGUCACCUGUCACUUGUGGGUGGGUUCAGCCCAUUCCCCAACAAAAGGUCGAGGCCCCUGCCCCAAUUUCCCCAGUUUCUCCUAUGAUCUUAGUAGCAGACCAAUAGGGAGAAGAGAACAAUUCAUGUUUGAGAGCGUUGAGAACCAAGGCCCAGAGAGGGAAAGUGAUUUGCCCAAGGCCCCUCGGCAAGUCUGGUGGUAAGGCAUAGAAUGAACUCCCCUUGUCUCCUGAUUCCCAGUCCUGGUUCUUUUCUGCAAACCACUGAGAAAAUGUCCAUAAACCUGCAGGCUGGGGACUAAGCAGAGGGUCCUUCACUCUUCUGGGUGCUUCCUGCCCUCCCCGUGGGUACCAGCAAUUCACGCUUUAUCCGGGAGGCCUCCAGGCUGCAGGAUGGGCUGCCUCUCGACUGGUAAGCAAAUCCCCUGCUGAGCAGGUCAUAUUUUAUCCAGGGCGCCACCUGCCAGCUCAUUUGCUUACAGAUACAGGUGCUUCAUCAGGGAGGAAUUAGUGAUUACUUAGCCCAGAGACCCUGGCAGACAGAGAGCAAGCCAGGGCGAUAGCUGGAGUGGGAAGCCAGGGAUCUGACAGUGAAGUCUCUAUCUCCUCCCAGGCUGCUUAGCCCUGCUCUGGACCCAAAGCACUGGGGUUAAGGAUAGAAGGAAGGACCUCUCUGCUUUGGGAAAAACUGAUGGCCCACUCCCACCCCCAUACAUAUCCUACCAGUUCUCCGAGCCUUGGUGCCAAUGUCCUCCGAGUCUGUUCCCCCAAACCUUUUACGUUGCUUGUUUGAAGCCUUGUUUACUCAUUUAUCUAUUUAUUUUUAAAGUAAUUUUUAGGGGACUUCCCUGGUGGACCAGUGGUUAAGACUCUGUGCUUCCACUGCAGGGGCACCAGUUUGAUUCCCAGUCAGGGAACUAAGAUCUCACAUGCCUUGCAGUGUGACCAAUAAUAAUAAUUAUUAUUGGUCUUGGAACCAUUUUAGAUUUACAGAAAAAUGACGUAGUGCAGAGAGUUCGCAUAUGCCUGGCACCCAGUUUCCCCUAUUAUUAACAUCCUACAUUUGUAUGGUCCAUUUGUCACAAUUAA
Molecule: long non-coding RNA, 1240 nt
Filed under: Bos indicus x Bos taurus (hybrid cattle)
Lineage: Eukaryota; Metazoa; Chordata; Mammalia; Artiodactyla; Bovidae
Description: lncRNA (ENSBIXG00000014133.1)
Source: RNAcentral